RNAcentral lists this ribosomal RNA (301 nucleotides) under uncultured bacterium. RNAcentral's name for it is "partial 16S ribosomal RNA". It matches the Rfam family "Bacterial small subunit ribosomal RNA", at positions 509 to 809 of the family's 1533-position model. The record is from RNAcentral.
CAGUAGCCGCGGGAAUACGUAGGGUGCGAGCGUUAAUCGGAAUUACUGGGCGUAAAGCGUGCGCAGGCGGUUCGUUAAGACAGAUGUGAAAUCCCCGGGCUUAACCUGGGAACUGCAUUUGUGACUGGCGAGCUAGAGUAUGGCAGAGGGGGGUAGAAUUCCACGUGUAGCAGUGAAAUGCGUAGAGAUGUGGAGGAAUACCGAUGGCGAAGGCAGCCCCCUGGGCCGAUACUGACGCUGAGGUGCGAAAGCGUGGGGAGCAAACAGGAUUAGAUACCCGCGUAGUCCCUGUCUCUUAUAA